Molecule: long non-coding RNA, 730 nt
Filed under: Manacus vitellinus (golden-collared manakin)
Lineage: Eukaryota; Metazoa; Chordata; Aves; Passeriformes; Pipridae
Description: lncRNA (ENSMVIG00005018873.1)
Source: RNAcentral
ACUCAUUUAAAUAAUGCCACUUAUAUUACAGAAUCAUGAUUUUCCUGGUGCAGUAAUACAUACAAUUACUUUAUAUUUCGGCCCAUUCCGUUGAUUUUCAAAAUUAUUGAUUAAUCUAACUGGCAGGUUUCACACAGCUCCUAACAAAGGGCUAUUCAGGCAAUUGAGUCAGUAAAUGGUACUCCCUUGUUUUAAUUGUGGUUAUCUAUACUUAUUGUUGUGUAGCUGGGAAGAUUUUUUGGACAAGAUAUCAUGGAAAAGGGAUGCUUUUGUUUAGUCUUUUUCGACAGAUACAUGACCGAGGCAGCUUUGAAGCCUUUCUGGAAAAUCCUCCUUCCUUCUGUAGAAUGUUUAAUCUUCCUGUGGAGUGUCGAACUAUGAGACUUACUCUGCAGAAUUCCAUUCUUGUGCCAUACAGACGAGUAAGAACUACUCAGGUAAAUGAGCCUUUUCCAGCUGUGAGAUCCACAGGCAGCUUCAUUUUGUUUUGGGGAGCAAAGCUUCUACCUGAUUACUUCCUUCUAAAAAGGAGUACCACCUUCUUCGAUUUUACAGGAACUGAUUCGGGCCGCUGACGUUAAUGAGAAUUAUGCUUUUCUGAGCUCUGGAACAAGCUUUAAGGCAAGAUGUAUGGAUAGAUAGAUAGAGAGAGAGAGACAGACAGACAGACAGACAGAUAGAUAGAUAGGUGACAAAUAAAUAGAUAAAGCCCCUCUGUCCUUUCUUAUUU